This is a long non-coding RNA of Hyaena hyaena (striped hyena), 2803 nucleotides long. RefSeq lists it as uncharacterized. The transcript has 3 exons. NCBI's taxonomy places the organism in Eukaryota, Metazoa, Chordata, Mammalia, Carnivora, Hyaenidae. The record is from RefSeq and is a predicted model, not a curated record.
CACUGCUGGGGGGGCCCGUGCAGGCGGGUCCCCUCUCUUCCCACCCGCAGAGCUGAGGGGUAAUUCUGGCCACUUCUCAAGCCUCACUGGCCUUAGGUCUUAGUGGUCACACGUCCCGGCCCCUGGCUUCCCUCAGAGGGGCCCAGACCAGGUAGGUCACAUGACCCAAGUGGCUGGGUCACGAAAGGGCCUGACGGUCCACUGGGGUGUAUGCUGAGUGGGGCCAAGGCCCCCUCUUGAUGAGAGACACAGACUGGCCUGUUGUGCCCGCCAGGUCGGAUCUGGGGCACUUCCUCGAGCACUGGGGCCGAGCUCCCAGGUGGUCAGAGGUGGGCAGCCGUCUGUGGGGUUAGGCCAGGCAGGGAGGGCCCAGGACAGAGCAGGGGAUCACUGGCCAGCUGGGGACAGAGUCCCCACGGAGUGGGACGCUUAGAUCAAAGAGGUCCCCCCGGAGCGAGUGACUGUUGCUUCGUGGCCACACUGUGGGAGCAGAGGGACCGAUGUCCCCGAAUGCACCAGGCACAGAAAUGGGAGGCCCACCCUGCAUUCAGGCUGCAGACCUGACUGUCCCAGUUGGUGUUGGGGGGCGCCCGGGGCUGAGGCCACUGGAGCCGUGGGGGACGCCCCCCAGGGCACAAAGGCUGCGGGAUGUUCUCCGUCCGUGGUUCCUGGGCCAGCGAGGCUGCUCGCCCGGCUGACCCCCAAGGGGCAGGGUCCCCGACUGCAGGGCACCUGGAGUGGGCGAGGCCACACUCACUCACGCUCAGGCUCUUGUGUCCAAGUGCCCGGGCACUUGCACACCCCUUGCCCACACUCUGGUCCCAGUGUGCACACACUCGCUCACACAUGUGUGGUCCCACACGCCCGCUCCCUCACAUGGUCACACACACACGCUCAAAUGCGUGCGCACACACACACGCACACGCAUGCAGACAGGGCCCUGUGCACGCGCCCACGCCCCCCAGGAAGAGUGUGGGAACCGGGCGCCACCUGGUGGUGAACAUCGGCGUCCUGGUGUGACAUGCCCCCUCUGGAACCUUCCAGAGCUGGCUCUGCUCAGGUGAAGGGUGGGGGGCUGCAGCCCUGCCCAGGACUCAGUCCCACGGGGCAAGGUCCUUGCACAGGAGGCCGUAGGCACCCCUAGCACCCAGAGCACAGCCUGGCUGGGCAGACAGCACGGUGCACUGGGAGGGCGGGAACACAGGCUCCUGGGACCCCGCCCGGGCCUGGGGGAGCCUGCGCGGCUCCAAUGGGGAGGAGGCCCUUGGUGCCCUGACCUGAGGGAUUCCGCGGUCCCCACGUUCUCCAUGGCUGUGCUGAGCCUUCUUUCCUGUGAAUGUGCAAGAGCCCAGACUCCGGAGACCAGCUUCCCACCCCUGCUGUCCAGGAGGACCCCAGUGAUUGGCACAUCGCGUGACCCGUGUGGGGAGGCACAUCAGCCUGGGCCCGGGCGCGGCCUGGACGCUGGCGAGGCCGUGCCACGUGAGCACCGAGCCCCCCGCGACGCUGCUCGAGUCUAUGAAGUGAGAAGCGCGCUUGGCUCCUCCGGGGCCUCCUGGCUCCCGCGACCCCAGGCCGGUUCCCGGAAGAUGCUGGACACAGAAAGGGCGGUGCUGGACGCGAGCCCACAACAGGACCUGGUCGUAAACUGGGGCCGCGGGUGGGGCCGCAGCGCAGACCAGGGGCCCUAACGGGAGCUCCUCCCCAGCCCGGCCCCCAGCUGUCGGCCCUUCCUAGGAACCGGCACCUUUGUUUGCCCUUUGAUGGAGCUGGUGGCCUGAGCUGCCUGAGCCCUGGCCCUGGGGGCUGCGGACGCAGAGCCACACCCCCGGCCAUGGGGCAUGGGGUACGGGGGCCCAGAAAAGGUGGGCCCGUGCAGAGGCCCCGUGGCUACCGCCUGGCCCUGGGCUGGGGCCGGGAGCCUGUGGCUCCCCUUUUCUGUGGCUUGGCCUCGUCUUGAAUUGAGGAAGGUGAAGGUCUGCUGAGGCGGAUGGACCGCUGUCAUUUUAGGUGGGAGGGGGCGCUGGGCGGGGAGCUGGUGUGUGUUCACCUCCUGCAGACAGAACCCCCCACCCCGCCAGGCAUCAGUGUUUGUGGGGUGAUUUUAAUACCACUCUCAGACGGUGAAUUGUCUCAGCCACACCCCAGCGUGGCCCACGAUUCUCUUGGGACCCUCAAGGCCCUUUGCGGGGGGCCGUGGGCUCCGGACUCUGCAGGGCCAGGCUGCAAGGGGUCAGCCUUGCUCAGGGGCUCGCGAGUGCGCAGAGGGUACGCGAGCCGCCCGGGGAAGCCGCGGGCUCCUUUGCAAGGAUCCGGCGUGACGGGUCCCGUCCCACCCCCACCCCCCACCCCCCCCACCCGGGGACCUGGCAGCAAACGCUCUCAUCUCACUUCAUCCAGUCUCAGCCCCCCACCCCCCCAGGUGAGGACGGCGGCCGCCCCAGGAAGCGCUCUCCGGAGGCAACCGCGGUGCGAGCCGACCCGGCCCCGUGGCCACUGGGCUGUGGGUGUUCAGACCUGGGACCCUGGCAGCCCUUCUCCCGGAAUGAACCAGGGACCCUGUGGCUUCAAGGAAGAGAGCGGACGGGACCGUCGUUAUUGCCACGCUUCCGUGUGAAGCUGGUUUUCUCCGGCCACUUCCAUCCAGGCGACGUGUCCCUGCACACGGACGUGGACCCAGCGAAGAGGUGCAGCCGCCUCUCAAUCUGCAGAAACGCCUCUCUUCUCACUGAACUUUUGUGUUGGAAAAAAGUUGUAUUUGAUUUUACUUUUUAAUGUUUAUUUUUGAGUGAGAGAGAGAGAG